This 529-nucleotide ribosomal RNA is filed under the name Millerozyma farinosa. Its description in RNAcentral is "partial large subunit ribosomal RNA". It matches the Rfam family "Eukaryotic large subunit ribosomal RNA", at positions 107 to 650 of the family's 3401-position model. Lineage: Eukaryota; Fungi; Ascomycota; Pichiomycetes; Serinales; Debaryomycetaceae. The record is from RNAcentral.
GCUCAAAUUUGAAAUCUGGCGUCUUCGGCGUCCGAGUUGUAAUUUGAAGAAGGCUACUUUGGAGCUGGAGUUUGUCUAAGUUCCUUGGAACAGGACGUCACAGAGGGUGAGAAUCCCGUGAGAUAAGCUUCCCAGUUCUAUGUAAAGUGCUUUCGAAGAGUCGAGUUGUUUGGGAAUGCAGCUCUAAGUGGGUGGUAAAUUCCAUCUAAAGCUAAAUAUUGGCGAGAGACCGAUAGCGAACAAGUACAGUGAUGGAAAGAUGAAAAGAACUUUGAAAAGAGAGUGAAAAAGUACGUGAAAUUGUUGAAAGGGAAGGGCUUGAGAUCAGACAUGGUAUUUUGUAAACCUUCUCUCUCGUGGAGGGGGCCCCUUGCAGUUUACUGGGCCAGCAUCAGUUUGGGCGGUAGGAUAAUGACUAAGGAAUGUGACUUGCCUUCGGGGAAGUGUUAUAGCCUUGGUUGAUACUGCCAGCCUAGACUGAGGACCGCGUCUUUGACAAGGAUGUUGGCAUAAUGAUCUUAAGCCACCC